This 414-nucleotide ribosomal RNA is filed under the name uncultured bacterium. RNAcentral describes it as "bacterial SSU rRNA". It matches the Rfam family "Bacterial small subunit ribosomal RNA", at positions 358 to 769 of the family's 1533-position model. The record is from RNAcentral.
GGAAUAUUGGUCAAUGGAGGCAACUCUGAACCAGCCAUGCCGCGUGCAGGAUGACGGUCCUAUGGAUUGUAAACUGCUUUUGUACGGGAAGAAAUGUAUUUACGUGUAGAUAUUUGACGGUACCGUAAGAAUAAGGAUCGGCUAACUCCGUUCCAGCAGCCGCGGUAAUACGGAGGAUCCAAGCGUUAUCCGGAAUCAUUGGGUUUAAAGGGUUCGUAGGCGGUUUAAUAAGUCAGUGGUGAAAUCUUGCAGCUUAACUGUAAAAUGGCCAUUGAUACUGUUAGACUUGAAUUGUAUGGAAGUAACUAGAAUAUGUAGUGUAGCGGUGAAAUGCUUAGAUAUUACAUAGAAUACCAAUUGCGAAGGCAGGUUACUACAUACAUAUUGACGCUGAUGAACGAAAGCGUGGGGAGC